This is a long non-coding RNA of Macrobrachium nipponense, 881 nucleotides long. RefSeq lists it as uncharacterized. The record is from RefSeq and is a predicted model, not a curated record. NCBI's taxonomy places the organism in Eukaryota, Metazoa, Arthropoda, Malacostraca, Decapoda, Palaemonidae. The transcript is spliced from 3 exons.
GUCAUGUUAAAUUAAGUUAUUUCAUUAUUUAUAAAUAAAUUCGGCCUUCGGCAGGAGUAAUUGCUAACUGCCCUUUUCAUAAGAGUGCUGCGAUAACCUGCGCCCCUCCGCCUUCGUUAAUUAGUGAAUGGCCAUUAACUCUUUUGUUUAUUUUUUUUUCUCUUCGAGUGUUUGGGUUUGAGUGAGAACCGUGAACGAGAUUGCUGCAGCCUGGGACGAGGAGUUCGGACCCUACCUUGAUCUCAGACGUAGAUCCUAAUUUAGCAGCCGUUGAUGGACGCCUUUUCUUUUUCUUCAUAAGUAAUUGUGUCUUUGGAGGAUUGUUUCGCUGGUGCUUUGAGCCACCUGCGGUAAAUUGUACACUUCUUUGGAUCACGGCCCACGUAUGCAGGGGUAUUAUCACCUGCGAUAGCCACCUCGCUUGUUACGUCCUGCAAGUGUAUGUGUCACUUGCGACCUUCGCUUUGCGUCAUUUUCCCCGCCUGAGGAUCCCGCGGGAAGACGGUGCUGUCGUUCCGUCCCGGCACUGUUGGAGGUACUAUAGCCGUGAUCAAAGAGCGUCAUCACAUCUGCUACGCUGCUCGUCUGUGGACCGAGGGUCCGUUAGGAGGAACGUAGGGAGUCAUUACCCAGGACUCUCCAGGAAGGACGAGGUUGCUCCAGCACGAUGUGGAUGUUGGGGACGCUUCUCCGGUUAAACAAAGCCCAUAUCGCCUCAGUCCAGAGAAGCGUGCCAUUGUGGAAGAUGAAAUUAAAUACAUGCUGGAGCACAAUCUCAUACAACCAUCAGUAAGCCCAUGGAGUUCUCCUAUAGUCUUGGUGAAGAAGCCUGAUGAAACCAUUCAUCAUAGCCGUUGAUGCCAGUGACGUAGGAAUUGGGG